AUUGAACGCUGGCGGAAUGCUUUACACAUGCAAGUCGAACGGCAGCACGGGUGCUUGCACCUGGUGGCGAGUGGCGAACGGGUGAGGAAUACAUCGGAACGUGCCCAGUAAUGGGGGAUAACCAACCGAAAGGUUGGCUAAUACCGCAUACGCCCUGAGGGGGAAAGCGGGGGCUCGAAAGACCUCGCGUUAUUGGAGCGGCCGAUGGCGGAUUAGCUAGUUGGUAGGGUAAAGGCCUACCAAGGCGACGAUCCGUAGCGGGUCUGAGAGGACGACCCGCCCCACUGGAACUGAGACACGGUCCAGACUCCUACGGGAGGCAGCAGUGGGGAAUUUUGGACAAUGGGGGAAACCCUGAUCCAGCCAUUCCGCGUGAGUGAAGGAGGCCUUCGGGUUGUAAAGCUCUUUCGGCAGGAACGAAACGGCCAAGGAUAAUACCUUUGGUCAAUGACGGUACCUGAAGAAGAAGCACCGGCUAACUACGUGCCAGCCGCCGCCGUAA
This 502-nucleotide ribosomal RNA is filed under the name uncultured bacterium. RNAcentral describes it as "partial 16S ribosomal RNA". It matches the Rfam family "Bacterial small subunit ribosomal RNA", at positions 29 to 523 of the family's 1533-position model. The record is from RNAcentral.